CGUUAUAUAUACGAGGAUGCUCAAUUUGAUCGUUACAAAACGAUACUAGCAAAACUAGGUUUUUGGAACAUGGUUGAUGAAUUCUACAUCGAUCGAUCCACAAAUUGCUAUGAACACAAUUUUUUUUUCUUCUUCUUACUAAAAUGGAUCUAAAUUAGCACAGUGAAAAAACAAAAGUUCCACAGUUCCCACCUGUCACUCAACUAGUCUCAAUGCUUCCUAUCCUCUUUUCUGUUUGACACAUGUUAUUGUCGUAAGUGUGGUGGCCUCUAAGAUUGAGUUAGAACAAUCAUGUCUUGAAGAUGAAAUAUAUGCCCUAAGCCACUCGCUGUCGCCUUUGCGUCCUCUGCGUGCUGUUUGAAUUCUCCUUGGGAAAGCGUCCCUUAUCAACACACUGUGGAGGAGACAAGGAAAAGACGAGAAGUGGCUUAGGAUGGGGAGAGUCUCUUCCUCCCAGACGAGACCACCAAAUAAGAACAGUUUGGUUUCCACAUGGUAGCGUGUCCCGAUGAACCCAUUUAUAGCCUUACAUCCAUUAUCCGCAGAAAGCACUUAUGGCCACUCAUGAUGCCCUCAAGUACACAAAGGAAAGCAGCACAUUCAUUCACCCUCUGAUUCCAUGGAUGCCAUGCGUCACGAUAGAGGAAGAACUCGGAGCUUAAAAGAUGGCAGUUUGUCUUUGGCACAGGAACCUAUCUCACUCGUGAAGCUUAGAGCUAAGUUGGAUUGUGAGGUUGGUAAAAGUCAACUUGAUUGAGUGUAGGGGAAGCCUUUAUAUCAUUGCAGCAAAAAUGGUGUCAUAAUGGGGUGCUUAAAGCUUCUCAAUCCUACGUUUACAUGCUUUCUGCUACAGCUCUCCAUCCAGUCCAGCAAAUUAUGAUGUGUUCUUCGGAUCUUACAGAAGCUACUGGAUAUGGAAGGAGUAGAAAUUACUAGAGUCAACCCCACUGACUACUUGACCCAACAAAAAGCUCAAGUCAUCACCAAAAAGGCCACAGCAACACUCACAGGGGUUGAUGUCCAAACUCCACAAAAAGCUCAGGACAGGUUCAUCUGUGCUUUGGUCUUCAAAGAAAAAGCUAAUGGCACCACUGAGAGUGACACAGUAAACCCAGCAAGGGUUGGUGUCUCGACUCCACUGAGGCCAAGAGAGGAAAGAUGCCAUUUUCAAUCACAAGCUGGAAGACACUGCUACCACCAUGGCUCUGCUAAGAUAACAAGAGCUCAUGGGCAGUGGCCACACAACCUUUGACAAGAAGGAAGGCAUCAACGGGGCAGUGGCCUCGUGAUUGGGGCAGAGUUGUUCUCUGCAGGAGUAUCUGCAUCAAUUCAUGUGCACAUGUGUUUUGUGGUGGACAUGGUGGAAUGGAUUGACAGAAUGAUUGAUCUGAACACAUGGAUGUAUGUACAUGUAUGAAGAUGGUGAAAUAUGUGUGUGUAUAUAUAUAAUUGGGAAAAGGAAGGUGGAAAUGGAACUGUAUUCCCAGCCAUGGGGAUUGGUGAGAUCUUUAGGUGAGGCAUCUGUUUGGAUUUUGGAGGAGGAAAAGGGAACAGCACUUUUGAGUUAUCUAUAGAUUUGUUAUAUGCUGGCA
This is a long non-coding RNA of Musa acuminata AAA Group (dessert banana), 1592 nucleotides long. RefSeq lists it as uncharacterized. The transcript has 2 exons. The record is from RefSeq and is a predicted model, not a curated record. Lineage: Eukaryota; Viridiplantae; Streptophyta; Magnoliopsida; Zingiberales; Musaceae.